UACAGAGGUCCCAAGCGUUGUUCGGAUUCAUUGGGCGUAAAGGGUGCGUAGGUGGCGCUGUAAGUCAGGUGUGAAAUUUCGGAGCUUAACUCCGAAACUGCAUUUGAUACUGCGGUGCUCGAGGACUGGAGAGGAGACUGGAAUUUACGGUGUAGCAGUGAAAUGCGUAGAGAUCGUAAGGAAGACCAGUGGCGAAGGCGGGUCUCUGGACAGUUCCUGACACUGAGGCACGAAGGCCAGGGGAGCAAACGGG
Molecule: ribosomal RNA, 253 nt
Filed under: uncultured bacterium
Lineage: Bacteria
Description: partial 16S ribosomal RNA
Rfam family: Bacterial small subunit ribosomal RNA
Source: RNAcentral